RNAcentral lists this ribosomal RNA (798 nucleotides) under uncultured Glomus. RNAcentral describes it as "SSU rRNA". It matches the Rfam family "Eukaryotic small subunit ribosomal RNA", at positions 314 to 1114 of the family's 1831-position model. The record is from RNAcentral. Lineage: Eukaryota; Fungi; Glomeromycota; Glomeromycetes; Glomerales; Glomeraceae.
AUCAACUUUCGAUGGUAGGAUAGAGGCCUACCAUGGUGGUAACGGGUAACGGGGUGUUAGGGCACGACACCGGAGAGGGAGCCUGAGAAACGGCUACCACAUCCAAGGAUGGCAGCAGGCGCGCAAAUUACCCAAUCCCGACACGGGGAGGUAGUGACAAUAAAUAACAAUACGGGGUUCGUUCGGAUUUCGUAAUUGGAAUGAGUACAAUUUAAAUCUCUUAACGAGGAACAAUUGGAGGGCAAGUCUGGUGCCAGCAGCCGCGGUAAUUCCAGCUCCAAUAGCGUAUAUUAAAGUUGCUGCAGUUAAAAAGCUCGUAGUUGAAUUUCGGGACCAAUAUGUCGGUCGUGCCUCGGUACGUACUGGCAUCGUUGGUUUCUCCCUUCUGACGAACCAUGAUGUCAUUCAUUUGGUGUCGUGGGGAAUCAGGACUGUUACCUUGAAAAAAUUAGAGUGUUUAAAGCAGGCUCACGCUUGAAUACGUUAGCAUGGAAUAAUGAAAUAGGACGUUUGAUUCUAUUUUGUUGGUUUCUAGGAUCGACGUAAUGAUUAAUAGGGAUAGUUGGGGGCAUUAGUAUUCAAUUGUCAGAGGUGAAAUUCUUGGAUUUAUUGAAGACUAACUACUGCGAAAGCAUUUGCCAAGGAUGUUUUCAUUAAUCAAGAACGAAAGUUAGGGGAUCGAAGACGAUCAGAUACCGUCGUAGUCUUGACCAUAAACUAUGCCGACUAGGGAUCGGAUGAUGUUAAUUUUUUAAUGACUCAUUCGGCGCCUUACGGGAAACCAAAGUGUUUGGGUUC